This 442-nucleotide ribosomal RNA is filed under the name uncultured bacterium. RNAcentral describes it as "partial 16S ribosomal RNA". It matches the Rfam family "Bacterial small subunit ribosomal RNA", at positions 338 to 795 of the family's 1533-position model. The record is from RNAcentral.
CCUACGGGUGGCAGCAGUGGGGAAUAUUGGGCAAUGGGCGCAAGCCUGACCCAGCAAUGCCGCGUGAAGGAAGAAGGCCUUCGGGUUGUAAACUUCUUUUGACAGGGAAGAGCAGAAGACGGUACCUGUCGGAUAAGCCACGGCUAACUACGUGCCAGCAGCCGCGGUAAUACGUAGGUGGCAAGCGUUGUCCGGAUUUACUGGGUGUAAAGGGCGUGAAGCCGGGCUGACAAGUCAGAUGUGAAAGCCGGGGGCUUAACCCCCGAACUGCAUUUGAUACUGGUGGGCGUGAGUAUCGGAGGGGGAGGCGGAAUUCCUAGUGGAGCGGUGAAAUGCGUAGAUAUGAGGAGGAACACCAGUGGCGAAGGCGGCCUGCUGGACGACAACUGACGGUGAGGCGCGAAAGCGUGGGGAGCAAACAGGAUUAGAUACCCCUGUAGUC